CUGUAGAUUGAUUCAUUUGAGGUGACUGAGUGGCGGACGGGUGAGUAACGCGUGGGUAACCUGCCUCAUAGAGGGGGACAACAGUUGGAAACGACUGCUAAUACCGCAUAGUAAGAAGAAUUCGCAUGUUUUCUUCUUGAAAGAUUUAUCGCUAUGAGAUGGACCCGCGUCUGAUUAGUUAGUUGGUAAGGUAACGGCUUACCAAGGCGACGAUCAGUAGCCGGCUUGAGAGAGUGAACGGCCACAUUGGGACUGAGACACGGCCCAAACUCC
Molecule: ribosomal RNA, 273 nt
Filed under: uncultured Eubacteriales bacterium
Lineage: Bacteria; Bacillati; Bacillota; Clostridia; Eubacteriales
Description: uncultured Clostridiales bacterium partial 16S ribosomal RNA
Rfam family: Bacterial small subunit ribosomal RNA
Source: RNAcentral